AAGUCGUAACAAGGUUUCCGUAGGUGAACCUGCGGAAGGAUCAUUAUCGUACUACAGAGGUGCAAGGGUUGUCGCUGACCUUUCCAAAAGGUCGUGCACGCCCGAGCGCUCUCAAUCCAUUUCACCCCUUGUGCAUCACCGCGCGGGGUCGCUCCCUCUUGGCUUGCUUCGAGAGGGGGAGGCUCGCGUUUUUCACACAUAAACACCCUUCUAGUUUAGAAUGUCAUUCAUUUGCGAUCACACGCAAUCAAUACAACUUUCAACAACGGAUCUCUUGGCUCUC
This 283-nucleotide unclassified non-coding RNA is filed under the name Russula sp. RNAcentral describes it as "partial contains small subunit ribosomal RNA, internal transcribed spacer 1, and 5.8S ribosomal RNA". The stretch from base 1 to 46 matches the Rfam family "Eukaryotic small subunit ribosomal RNA", at positions 1786 to 1831 of the family's 1831-position model. The record is from RNAcentral. Lineage: Eukaryota; Fungi; Basidiomycota; Agaricomycetes; Russulales; Russulaceae.